Canis lupus familiaris (dog) is the source of this 4329-nucleotide long non-coding RNA. RefSeq lists it as uncharacterized. NCBI's taxonomy places the organism in Eukaryota, Metazoa, Chordata, Mammalia, Carnivora, Canidae. The record is from RefSeq and is a predicted model, not a curated record. The transcript has 2 exons.
CUCGUUUCUUUCUCUGGUCCCUGAAGGGGUAAGAUAUAUAGAAACUCCAGAUGCCCAGAGAAGUGAUAAGGCUGCAAUAAUGGGGCUUUUCUUUACUCCACUGCAAACCAGUAGUAGUAAUAUUCGUCCAUUUGGACUUUAAAGGUAAAGUAGAAGAAGGACCGUGCCUGUUUUGAUGCCUGAUGAAGCCACAGAAAGUUCUAGAAAAAUAAGAAACCUGGAAGGGACUGACCCCGAGAAAGUUGAAGGAGUGGGUGCAACUUCCUCCAGAAAUUGCUGCAUUCCAGAAAACCUGGACCAAGCCUGGGACUUGUUACGUCACUUUGGCUUUGAUUUAUGUACUCAUGCAUUUAUUGUUAACUUUCUAAAAGGGAUCUCAGAAGGAAAAAAACAAAACAAAACAAAACAAUGAAGCCGGUUCUUCAAAGGCUAUGAAAAGAUGAUCCCACUCCACUUAAGCAGAGGACUAAAAUCCAACCUCACCAGAAAAUAUUUGCCCCUCGGGGAGCACUAUCCAAAGCAGGACCUCUAAGAAGACGCUUUCUGUGGCAUCUCCUGCCUACUGGGAAAGGUCAAAUGUUGGCCACUAGAUUUAUUUUUUUGACUUGACUUCAAAGAGGUCUAGUGCUGAAAGAGGCCCGCCCUGCCUAAUGUCCACUAGGCCACUGGCUCUCAAUGAUUGAAAGCUGGUGUUAUCCCAAUAGAACUAGAAGAUACGUAUCUCACCUAAAAAGUAGAAGCGUGUCCUCCACCUCUCCCUCCUGGAACAUACUGCCUCCAUAGCCAAAGGGAGGUUUAUAGCCUUCUCACCGUUCUGCGAUCCAGUAACUUGUCUCAAAUAUUCAUUAGAAAUAUAAUAAAGCCACGGAUGUAAGGACCUCAGCGGUGUUACUGGGGUUGACCCAAUGUACAACUAAACCAUCUCCUAAAGACCAGAGAGAUAGUUAGCAAGGGGCCUUUCCAGAAGGUUCUGUAACCCCUAUAGCCCCCAUUCUAUUGGGACACUGGAGUUAAGGACAAGGAAUAGAGAUGGGUGGUACUGGAUUUGUAAUUUGUAGGGCAUAUGGAUGACCCAGAUUCUACUGGAAAGAGCUUCAGAGCAGAGUUCUUUGGUUUCUGAUCUUUCCUCAUGGGGAAAGGGACCAAGAGUAGUAUCUGGCUCUGGCAGAAAGCUGGUCUAAAAGCUAGAAGUAUCCAGGAUAGAGGGCUGAGAGAUGGGAAGGCCUCAAAAGACAGUGUUCUUUUUUUUUUUUAAUAGAUUUUAUUUAUUUAUUCAUGAGAGACACAGAGAUGCAGAGACAUAGGCAGAGGGAGAAGCAGGCUCCUUGCAGUCCCAAUGUGGGACUCGAUCCCAGGACCCCAGGAUCACGACCUGAGCCAAAGGCAGAUACUCAACCGCUGAGCCACCCAGGCGUCCCAUAAGACAUUGGUCUUUAAAAGGUGUUGUCCUAGGUGCUCUGGCUUGGAGGAAAGAGCCAGGGAUGAGGAUGAUCUUUCUGCUGCAAACAGCAGCAACGACAUGCACACCAGUACAAAAAACAAACCUGAUUGCUCAUGCUGUGUAUUUUAAUCUGUCUGGGUUAUGCUCUCAUUGCAUGAGGCAGAGGGACCUGGUGGGAAGGCUCAGCUAGUUUUCUAACCAGAGCAUAUGCCAACCUUGCUUGGGGAAGUCCAUGCCCCAACUUUAAAGGUCAGUUGGUGAGCUUCACAUUCAGUAAGCUCUUCCUGAUGACCCCAUUUAAAAUUUUAUUCUCCUUUGAAGAACCAUGGCACAAGAUACAUGGGCACAAAUUUUUCUCUGGAAAUUUCCCUGUCUCUGUAGGAGUAAACUAAAAUAGGUACUUUUUUUUUUUUUUUAAACCUCUCCAGCUACUGGGGACAGCAAGGACUUUUGCCAUUUAAUUUUUAUUAUCCAGCUCAUGAAAAUGUAUUUCUUAAUCUCCUAGCUACAGAUACUCCUGAUCAGAAAAAGCAUAAACUGAUAUGUCCCCUGUACUCCAGGAGCAUAUCAUUUAAAACUAACAACAUGGCAUAUACAACAGAGGGACGUGUGGAAAAUACCCAAAGAGCCAGCACCAGUGGCAGGAUGAAGACAUGUGCUUUGGUCUAGGAGGAAGAAGAGAAGGAACCGUGUGAAUGGCAGAGGCUGCUAGGUAUGUAAGUGUAAGGUGAAAAUCCUUACCUUAUAUCCACUUUGGUCAAAUUUAUUUGGAGAAAAUGACGAAGCCAGUAUUUUUAGCCCUUUUGAUUGCCAAAUGGGAUUACCUGGCUGGUUUGGCCAAUAAAGAUAGUAACAAUGAAGGUGACUGAUCACAAAAUGACAUGACCUUCAUCAUCAGAAGACUUUAAGGAGAAGACAGCUUUGAGGGUCUCAUCCAACAUGGGUGAGGAGGGUCUGAUGCGUGGAGAGAGCUAUUCCAAAUGUCUGGCCUACAAAGGAGGGAAAAAGCACAGCUGCUGUGGCCCUGCCCUGGAGAAGCAAGUGGAUCUAAUAAGCUGGAUGCUUUGUAGGUAACCUUGCUUUCCAUGGGUACGCUUGAGGAAAAAUGAGAAUUUUCCAUGCUCUGAAGACCAGGGCUCCUCAGCUCACAUUACCUGGCAGUGAGCUCCUGGGCUCAUUCGACAGUGCUUGGAUGCUGACAAAAAAGGUGGCAGGCUCUGGAUGUCAUGUCUGCUGGAAGCUAGUUUCCACCUUGCUCUGCACCCUUGGGUAUGCCACUUGACCUUCUUAGCUUCUUUUUCCUUAUUAGCAAAAGAAAUGAGUUGGACUAGAUGUGCUCUAGGAGCCCUUCCAAAUUUCCAAUUCUAUGAAUCAGGCGUACUUUAAAACACACAUGCUUCUUCAGUUGGGAAAAUAGCAAUGAUGAAGCUCUGAAAAGAUAAUCUCUUGUUUUCCCCAAUUAGUUCUGCCUUUGUGAAUGUGGAGGGGGAAACCUUUGCAAAUCAGUGCCUCUGGGAGAAAGGAGAAAUGGAAGAGACCUACCUGAGGUGUAGGGGCGGGGCAGACACCCUGUGUGGACGGGGCUACUGCGGGGCUGGGGGCAUCAGUGGUGGUCACCCAUGUGCCCCUGUAAUCCUCCCAGGAGAGGGGGGUCUCCAUAGUGUCCCUGCUCAACACCUCCCUUCAGGGGCCUCUGGGGCGCAUCAACCAGAUUUGUCCUGUCCCUGCCUAUGGCUUCAGGCAUCACCUAGUGCUCUAGGGCUGCCUGCUUUCUGCCCUUCAUACAGGAAAAACUUUUUUUUUUUCAUGAUUAUCAAAGUAAUACACACCACUUUGGACAAAUAGGAAGGCACAGAAAAAUAUUAAGAAAUGCAAAACCCCAAAUCAGUUAUAAUCCAAUCACCCAGUUCACAUUUCACACAUUUAAGUGCUUUUUUCUUCUAGUGAUUUUUUUUUCUUCUUCUUAACAUGAAUGUACACAUUUUGUGACUGGCUUCUUUGGGGCUCAAUCUCACAUGUUCCUGCAUCAUUAAAUGUCUCCAGCCUCCCUGUCAUUCCCACUGCUUCCCAGUGCUGACACGCCUCUUUGGUAGCCUCCAAGUCAGGGCACUCUAACCUCCACUCCUCACUCGUGCCAGUUACCUGCCCAAAGUGCAGCCACUCUCCAUUUGUUUUGAGUCUCAUGAUUCUUUGGGCCCUGUGUCUUCCAUGAUGCCUUCCAGGACACCUGGGAGGGCCCUCCUCAUCAUCCUUCCCUCCCUAACGUCCCUUCCCUUCCUUGGGCUCGCUUUGAUCAUCAACAUGUGCUGCUCUGGAGACUUAGGCCCCCCUCUAUGUAGAUGUCCCUCAGGCAGUAGUGUGAUGAGAAUAUUUAAUAACAGUCUCCCUGGGGGGGGGGAAUAGAUACAUAUAUAUGUUUAUCAUAUAUUAUAUCCAUACCAAGGAUGUGUAUUAUACAAUUUACAAAUAAUAAUAAAAUAUCCAGUACCCUUUAUUGUAACCUCCAUGUAGCCAGUUGCGUCUCCCAGAAUGCCCCCAAUGAUUUUCGCAUUUUCGCAUUCUAUCAUUAGCCAACCCAUGGUGGAUUAUUUUCAUUUACAUUAAUUAGCAAGACAAAAAUGAAACAAUGAGGAUGUGUACUGGAACUUCAAUCAUUCAGUCAUGACAUGAGCUACUUCUUUGGUGUGUCAGGUAAUUGGUUUUGAAUUCUAGAAGAAUAUGUUCUCUAUUUUUGUCUUAUUUAUGAUUGGAACAACUAGAGACACAAUACACUUUUACAUUUAAUCUUCAUUAUUAAUAUUUUCUCCAUGGCUUUCUUAAGUCUAGACCAGGGGCUGGCAACUUAUGGCCUGCCGCUGUUUUUGUAAAUAAAGUUUUAUUGGAGCAUG